CCUACGGGAGGCAGCAGUAGGGAAUCUUCCACAAUGGGCGAAAGCCUGAUGGAGCAACGCCGCGUGGGUGAAGAAGGUCUUCGGAUCGUAAAACCCUGUUGUUAGAGAAGAAAGUGCGUGAGAGUAACUGUUCACGUUUCGACGGUAUCUAACCAGAAAGCCACGGCUAACUACGUGCCAGCAGCCGCGGUAAUACGUAGGUGGCAAGCGUUAUCCGGAUUUAUUGGGCGUAAAGGGAACGCAGGCGGUCUUUUAAGUCUGAUGUGAAAGCCUUCGGCUUAACCGGAGUAGUGCAUUGGAGACUGGGAGACGUGAGUGCAGAAGAGGGGAGUGGAACUCCAUGUGUAGCGGUGAAAUGCGUAGAUAUAUGGAAGAACACCAGUGGCGAAGGCGGCUCUCUGGUCUGUAACUGACGCUGAGGUUCGAAAGCGUGGGUAGCAAACAGGAUUAGAUACCCCGGUAGUC
This 465-nucleotide ribosomal RNA is filed under the name uncultured bacterium. Its description in RNAcentral is "partial 16S ribosomal RNA". It matches the Rfam family "Bacterial small subunit ribosomal RNA", at positions 338 to 795 of the family's 1533-position model. The record is from RNAcentral.